ACCCGCUGAACUUAAGCAUAUCAAUAAGCGGAGGAAAAGAAACCAACAGGGAUUGCCUUAGUAACUGCGAGUGAAGCGGCAAAAGCUCAAAUUUGAAAUCUGGUGCCUUCGGCGCCCGAGUUGUAAUUUGGAGAGACAUCUUCGGAGUAGACGCCGUCCUAAGUUCCUUGGAACAGGACGUCACAGAGGGUGAGAAUCCCGUGCCUGGAUGGCUGUUCUACUUCAUGUGAAGUGUCUUCGACGAGUCGAGUUGUUUGGGAAUGCAGCUCGAAAUGGGAGGUAAAUUUCUUCUAAAGCUAAAUAUUGGCGAGAGACCGAUAGCGCACAAGUAGAGUGAUCGAAAGAUGAAAAGCACUUUGAAAAGAGAGUUAAAAAGUACGUGAAAUUGUUGAAAGGGAAGCGCUUGAGACCAGACUCGACCAGUGGUGAUCAGCGGUGCUUCUGUGCCGUGCACUUGCCAUUGGUUGGGCCAGCAUCGGUUUGGACGGCGGGAUAAAGACCUAAGGAAUGUGGCUCCCUCCGGGGAGUGUUAUAGCCUUGAGUGCAAUGCCGCCAGUCUGGACCGAGGACCGCGCUUCGGCUAGGAUGCUGGCGUAAUGGUCUU
RNAcentral lists this ribosomal RNA (604 nucleotides) under uncultured fungus. Its description in RNAcentral is "eukaryotic LSU rRNA". It matches the Rfam family "Eukaryotic large subunit ribosomal RNA", at positions 23 to 641 of the family's 3401-position model. Lineage: Eukaryota; Fungi. The record is from RNAcentral.